RNAcentral lists this ribosomal RNA (376 nucleotides) under unidentified archaeon. RNAcentral describes it as "bacterial SSU rRNA". It matches the Rfam family "Archaeal small subunit ribosomal RNA", at positions 90 to 457 of the family's 1478-position model. The record is from RNAcentral.
UCAGUAACACCGUAGUCAACAUGCCCAAAGGACGUGGAUAACCUCGGGACAACUUGAGGAUAAACCAGCUGAUAGGCCAAGGUUUCUUGGAAUGAGCCAUGGCCGAAAUCUAUAUGGCCUUUGGAUUGGACUGCGGCCGAUCAGGCAUGUUGGUGAGGUAAUCGGACCACCAAACCUGUAACCAGGUACGGGCUUUGAGAGAAGGAGCCCGGAGAUGGGCACUGAGACGAGGGCCCAGGCCCUAUGGGGCGCAGCAGGCGCGAAACCUCUGCAAUAGGCGAAAGCCUGACAGGGUUACUCUGAGUGAUGCCCGCUAAGGGUAUCUUUUGGAAACAUCUAAAAAUGGUGCAGAAUCAAGGGGUGGGCAAGUCUGGUG